UACUGAGCUUAUGUUCUCCACCCACUACUUAGUAAGAACUCCUUAACAACUUAAAGCUUUAUCCCUGUGAGUACCAGAAAAGUGAUCUGAGUAUUUAUUGAGCAGGGAGAACAAACUGCUUGCUCCAGGCAGGGAGAAAGCUUAUGGAAAUGAUAUUAGACCUUCAGCAAAGUGCACAGCUGCAUCAUACAGAAGCUGAGACUCAAACUGACAGGCAAAUAAGCCAGAUCACGGAAGGGGCCUCUGUGUGGCAGCUCUGAGCUACCAAGUGUUGGACAACUAGGCAAAAAGUGCAAUGGAACAGGGCAGAAAAUAACACACUAACUUCAGGCAACUGUUGCUUAUUCAUGGACUGGAAAGAAGCAUUUUCCACAGAUGUCAGCUUCUGUCUGCUGUCAUGCUCCACUCUGAGUGAUGCCACAUUCAGCACUGAGUAGUACUGGCAAAGGAGAGCAGCUUCUCAGAAUGAGGUGUGCAGCUGCCAUUCCAGGUGUGCAGCUGCCAUUCCAGCUGUGCAGCUGCCAUUCCACAUUGCAGUAGGGCUGUGUUUGCUGCUCCACAAGCUGCAGAGCAAGAGAAGCCAACUUCAGGGGCAUGCAUACUGUGAUACCCUCAGUGGUUUCUUUUACAAUGUGUUCUGCUCCAGCCAGGGAAUUUUAUUUAACUGACCAGUGAAAGAAAAAUUAAAAUGAAAAAGGAAAAUGAAGAUGUUAAUGAUACCAGAUUUCAACGAAGCUGAACAGCUUCCCGAAGAGCUCUGAGUUUUCUAUGCCAGAUUCUGCUCCAGUGGCUAGGACCUUUAUGGCUGCUGUUUCUUUUGCUCUGGGAUCUGAUGGAGGAAAAUAAAAAAGCCACGAUGGAUCCUGUCCCUAAAGUAGAAAUUUUCUUUUUCAUUCUGCAAACAAGGCUAAAGAUCGGAGGAGAACGAAUUCAAAAGUAAUUCAGGAUUGUGGUCGUGCCAUUAAAAGUGUUCGGCUUCAGAACAAAAUUAUUUGGGGAAUCCGAGCAAUUCUUCUUACUGUAUCGACAGUAUUUGAAAGUUAUGUGUGUUUUGAGUAAUCUGGUUCAAGUGACAAGAAUCUCUGCAUGUCAAUGUUUUCUGCAGCUUAUGGAGUGAAGGCUAGUUUUGCCAUUGGAAAGGAAGAAGCUUUUUCUAGCAGUCUGUAGAAGGAUUAAAUCUUGAACGUGGGGAAGAGGCAAAAAGUGAAUACACGCCCAAAGGUUAUCCUUGCAUCGUGAAUGGGUUUAAAGUACCCUGUAACCCAGGGCCCACCUGAACAGUAGGACUGAAAGUAUACCGGAGAAAUAUUUCAAUUAGAACCCCCUUAACAAGCAUUUAAUCCUUCUUUCAGGCAUUAAGGAAAUAGAAUAAAAUUGUUACUGUACAAAUCUGCUGGAAGCAGAUUUUAACCCAUUUGUAGAUGCUUCCCUCUGAUGCAUUAUAGUAACAUAGCUACUUGUGAGACAAGGCAGUGAAGAUUUUUAUCCUGUGUUCUUUGUUUUUUUUCUUUUCAAAAGUUAAGGACCAUACUCUCAGAAAAGUCUGUUUGGUCAGCUGAUACAUUGUUCGAAUGUAUGUAUGUGUCUUGCCUUCUUAUUUGAUCUUUUCUGCCCCCUACUUGAAACUGUGGUUUGUUUAUCUGGGGGGAAGGAGGUGGUGUUGAUUUGGUGGGGAGACGGGACAUUGGUUUUAGGGUUUCUUUUGGGUUUGGGUUUUUUUUUUUUUCUAUUUAACAAUAGCAGUGAAAGUUUUGGUGACAGCGAUUAUGACUACUAAACAAUUCAGUUUAUUGGAAGACGAAUUCUUCUGGAUCAUAUCGGACUUUUCCUAGUCCCUGAGACCCUAACUUGUGAGGUUUUUUAGCAACAAUCACAAGUCAGGCUCUUGGGACCUAGGCGGAGGGGAACCAGCAGCUUUGGACUGUGUUUGUUUCUCUGCAGAAUUUAGAGAACCAAAGGAGCUUUCCUUGCCUGGAAGGGUAAAAAGGAAAAUAUACCUAUUUUAAAUGUUAAGCAUCAGAACUGUUCCUAAAAAAAAAAAAGGAAGAAAAAGAAAAAAGAAAAAAAUCCAAACAACUGUUACUCAUUGUACAGCAUUAGGAUGUUACAUUUUUAUGUGUUUAGAAAACUGGACUAGAUGACAUGUAACAUUUAGAAUUAUAAUUUAACCUGGAUGUUAGUUUGCAUGAAAAAACUCUCCCCAAACAAUAAAAACAACAAAACUUCCACUCAAAACAGAUACUAAAAUAUAUUAAAGAUUCCCAAUCAUAAUAUUAAUACUAUUAUCAUUAUGAUUGUGGACAAUUUUGAUAAAUAAUUACGAAAAAGAAUAUAUUCAUCCUUACUGUUCAAGCAUUAAUUGACUUUAAAAAUGUAAAACAUAAACACUGAUGUUUGAGGCCUAGAAAACAUUCAUUCUAUUGUUUGAAUAAUGAUUUCAGUCUACAGGGAAACUGUUGCUUAGCUUUUCCUGUAACAUGGAACAAAGAGUAUUUUGUACUUAGUUGCCAUCCUUUUUCUUUGUCCAAGUGAGAACACAAUAUGUCAUUUAAGAUAUUCUCUCAUUUAAUUUACAUUUUAAUCUGAAAGAGAAUAACGGUUUAAAAAUCAUACUACAGCACUAACAUCCCUUUGCACUCAGAAACAUAUUUCUUGUACCUGUCCAAUUUAAAGUGAACCCACAAUACUCUAAACACUGGACUCAACUUGUAACUUCUCCAUCACUUCUUAUAUUUUUUAUCCCUCUGAAAAUAACCAGUGUGAGCUGUAGCUUGUCCCUCAUGUGUUAAGUUCUUCUCUGACUUUGCAUAAGGAGAUUCACAAGCACAUGAGUUAUUCUUUACUGCUUAUUCGUCUCAAACAUCUGAUCUAAAACACACCAUCUGAUUUGUAUUUCUUAAUAUUUUAUAGGUGAGUUAGUUCUGAGUCAUUUUUCUCUGUUUCCUGUGUCUAACCAAGAUGCUGAAGGACUCUGUUGAUUCAUCAGACUUCACUGAAACAAAGGCUUCACACAGAUCAGGCAUCUAAACUAUUUGUUCAUUUCAAAAGUGGUAUUUUGGCUGCAGUAUAUUUUUUCCACUUGUGUGGGAGGAAAUGUGUUUUAUUGUAAGCAUCAACACUAUUGUUAAAAUAAAUUGUUCUUAUCUGUUAGUAUAAUACUUUUUCUUCUUGUCUUGUUUUCUUAAGAGACAGAAACUAUGCUCAGUACAUAGUUUUCAAGUUGCUCAAGAUAUAAUUAGUCUUUAAAUAGUCAUAAAAAUAUUGCCUUAGCAAUUACAGUGAUGAUACAGUUCCUGUAAAUAUGUAAUUCUUUUCUUCAUAAACUGUCAAUCCCACAUGCUAAGAACACCCAAAAGAGCUACUUGCAAAAAUUCAGAUAUUAAGGUAGCCUAUUUAACACAUAUGUGAUAUUCAACAUUGACCUCUGUUUAGGAAAUAUUGGAAAAGUAAAUGUGAAUGUAUAUAGGAAAGACAAAUGCACUCAGGUAGGUGCUACACUUUGUUAGGAAUUUACACAUAUUCUGUAGCAGUUUUCAAUACUGAAAAUGGGUUAUUUAAGAUACUGAUCAGGUGAAUACAUAUUCUGUUCAUUCGAGCUGUAUAAUGAGAUAGAUAAAACUAUCCUGUGUGUUGCUGUAUAUGUGUCAAUAUAUAAUUUAAAUUACAUGUAGUGUUUAUCGAAAUAAAAGCCCUUAUAGAUUUAAUCAGCUGUAAGAUGUACCCAUCUACGCAUUUUAAAGAUUGUCAUUGCAUUUAUUUUUCGAUCAGCAAAAUUUUCUUGAAUGAAGAUAGUUCACAUUCAGCACUCUGAACUAAUUUUGCAUUUAACACUGUAUGUACAAUGAAGGUGAAACUGUGGUGUGAAACAUUUUGUCUCUGUCAGUCUGAAGAUUUCAACUAUGCUCUGCCCUGCAUUGAGAGUGAGAAGAAAAUGAAUCAUUUUACACCCCUGCCUGGUGUAUUUGGUGCUCCAGCAAAAGUCGUGAAUACGCAGUCCUGCCUCUGCAUUACUGCUUGAACUGGGAUGACUCCAGUGGCUCCGCUCUGCCCAUCAUACUCACUGCUGCCCCUUGCCAUAGUGAUGGGAAAGUUGGUGCACUGCCUGCCUCUUUGCCUGCUCCCUCUUCUUCCCCAGUCUCAGCACAGCCAGCCCAACCUCUGGUACACAGGUAGGGCAGAGGUGGAUGGAGGGGAGGAAGAAGCAGUGUCUUCAGUCAGGCAGAAUUUCCACCAAGAUCAACAACGUGUUUCUGUGUCCUGGAGCAGCGUGACAACGCCUACAGAGAACAUGCAGGAAGCAGUCCUAUUUACCCAGUGACAGAAUAUGAAAGCUGUCUCUAUUAUCACAAAUAAAUAGAAAGCAUAAUCUUCACUAUAUUAUGCUUAGAUAUAUGUGCAGGAUUCUGAUACAUUUCUAUAUAUAGGAAUCAUAUAUUUCUAUACAACUUGAUGUUGUUUCAAUGCAAAAAGCAUUUAAAUGCUCUUUAAUAAGUGAUUUCAGAGUAAUCAGCUUGUGCUACAACAAAAACAAAAAAACAAAAACACAAGCUCUUGCAAAGGGGGAGGAAGAGAGAGAGAGUGAAAAAGAUGUGUGUUGCAUACAAAAAAGGACUGAUAUUAACAAUUCGAUGGGUUCCUAGUUGGUGGAGCAGACUGAGCCAGACGCAUAUAUUAGCGGCUGUCUGCUGCUGAUGGGAGCCUGCUCAAUGCGGUGGAAAUGAAGGAUCACCUAGGCUCUGACACCAGCUUAUUUGUACGUUUUAAUUUUAAAAAGGAAAAUCACUGUUUUACAUAAACAUCUUAACCCCCACGUGAUUUUUUUUCUUUUUUUUCUCCCUCAUAUUGUUUGCUAAUUUACUGUCAACUUAAAGUGCUGUUUAGCUAUAGCCCAACAAAACAUCAGUCAAAAAAAUAGAGGGAAGUAUUAGCUUCUCUUUUGUCUGCCAUGUACAACUGAGUUAUUAUUAUGAUAAUUGUCUAAUUUAAUUUUUAGUCUUCCUGGGAGAUGCAACAAUUUUCUGGAGCUUCAUUUUUGAGGCAUUUUAAGUUUCAGCAAUAUACCAUUUCAUAUUUCACCCAAACAAUGCAAAAAAAAAAAAAAAAGAAAAAAAGCUCAUAGCUCAAGCUGGGGUGAUUUGAUCAAUUCUUUUCAUUAACCUGAAAGUCUUUAGCACCUUUGUAUAGUAUUGCAUAUAUGGGACAGGAUUUCUUUUCCAACCAUAUAAACUCUAAGAUCCAUUAAUACAGUGCUGAAGACUGCUACACGAGUCAAGGGAAUUCCAAUCCAAGUUAAUUACUGUUGGAAUUAGAGGGAAGAAUAUUUUACUUGAAGUUGUAUAACAAGAAUCUACAAUUAUCACAUUUCAGGGCAUUGCUCUAUUCACUUGAUGAAAAAUG
This is a long non-coding RNA of Serinus canaria (Common canary), 5397 nucleotides long. RefSeq lists it as uncharacterized. The record is from RefSeq and is a predicted model, not a curated record. Lineage: Eukaryota; Metazoa; Chordata; Aves; Passeriformes; Fringillidae. The transcript has 7 exons.